GCGGGUGACGCAGUAUUCUAGUCAGUGCAUACGAUCCCGAAAGCGGGCCUAAAAAUCCGUUAAAGGGCACAUCGAUGAAGUCCCUGGUGCUUGCUUCUUACGCCCAGUCUGGGGUGGGUGCUGGGGGUUAAGGCUUUAGGGCGCGUUUCAAUGGCAUGAAAUACCGACCCUAUUGCCGUGGAGACCCGUGGCUGUCGGGCACCUAUAGCACCCUGUUAUGGGGUUGAUGGAUGUCCAACGGUGCGGGGUGAAACCUGUAUUGCGGUGUGGCGGCAAACGAUGCAAUACCUCUGUUUUUACAGCUCGGCUGCAUCGGAAAGACCAAAAUGCUGUGUGCAGAGUAGCCUGCCUUGCGUGGUUAUGGUGGAUGGAGUACCUGCUUUGCAGUGCACGGCCAUGUGCUGCAAAGAAUCGAUCUUGAAACCAUGGCUGCAAAAGAGGCUAAGGAUCGUGUUGGCUGUAGUGGAAAUCACCUAGACUGUCCACCAGGGCAGGCGAGGGAUUGCAGUACGGACUAAGUGGCAAUUCGGUCCCGGAUAUGGUAACAUACCGGCUCGGCUUUUAAAGGGAAACCGCCAGAGCGGCGACGCAUGGUAAGCCGCGGGGAAAUCCAACCGAACCUCAAGCCGUAAGAUUUACCUCGUCUGUCGUCACCCUCUAUU
Molecule: small RNA, 662 nt
Filed under: uncultured Butyricicoccus sp.
Lineage: Bacteria; Bacillati; Bacillota; Clostridia; Eubacteriales; Butyricicoccaceae
Source: RNAcentral